Molecule: ribosomal RNA, 264 nt
Filed under: uncultured bacterium
Lineage: Bacteria
Description: partial 16S ribosomal RNA
Rfam family: Bacterial small subunit ribosomal RNA
Source: RNAcentral
AUAUCCUACGGGACGCAGCAGUAGGGAAUCUUCCACAAUGGACGAAAGUCUGAUGGAGCAACGCCGCGUGAGUGAAGAAGGGUUUCGGCUCGUAAAGCUCUGUUGGUAGUGAAGAAAGAUAGAGGUAGUAACUGGCCUUUAUUUGACGGUAAUUACUUAGAAAGUCACGGCUAACUACGUGCCAGCAGCCGCGGUAAUACGUAGGUGGCAAGCGUUGUCCGGAUUUAUUGGGCGUAAAGCGAGUGGAGGCGGGUCAAUAAAACU